This 307-nucleotide long non-coding RNA is filed under the name Ananas comosus (pineapple). RNAcentral describes it as "long non-coding RNA (ACOM_LNC015672)". The record is from RNAcentral. Lineage: Eukaryota; Viridiplantae; Streptophyta; Magnoliopsida; Poales; Bromeliaceae.
CAACAAAUCUUGCGCUUAAUAACACUUUAAAUAAUAACUAGUGACGCUUUAAAGUAUCGGCAAGAAUAAUCUUGACGCUUGUAAAAGCGUCGAAAAAAGAAUCGUUAAGUAAACAUAUCGGGAAAAAUAUACUGACACUUUAAUAUAACAUCAGAAAAUUUUUAUCAAUAUUUGAUAAAAAUAUGUUUAUUCGCAACGCUUAAUUAUAGUGUUAGCACAUGUCAAAUAUUGAAGACGCUAGAAUAGAACGUUAUCUAAAAAGCGUCGUAUAAAACAUAUUUUGUUAUAGUAUGAAAUAUAUAUAUAU